ACACGUAGGAAGCGAGCGUUAUCCGGAUUUACUGGGCGUAAAGCGCGUGCAGGCGGUUUUACAAGUUGGAUGUGAAAGCUCCCGGCUUAACUGGGAGAGGUCGUUCAAGACUGUGAGACUGGAGUGCGAAAGAGGGAGGUAGAAUUCCGAGUGUAGUGGUGAAAUGCGUAGAUAUUCGGAGGAAUACCAGAGGCGAAGGCGGCCUCCUGGUUCGCAACUGACGCUGAGACGCGAAAGCCAGGGUAGCAAACGGGAUUAGAGACCCCGGUAGUCCUGGCUGUAAACGAUGUAGACUAGGCGUUGGCGAUGUAAAAGUUGUCAGUGUCGGAGCAAACGCGAUAAGUCUACCGCCUGGGGAUUACGGCCGCAAGGCUAAA
RNAcentral lists this ribosomal RNA (377 nucleotides) under uncultured bacterium. RNAcentral's name for it is "bacterial SSU rRNA". It matches the Rfam family "Bacterial small subunit ribosomal RNA", at positions 523 to 898 of the family's 1533-position model. The record is from RNAcentral.